This 428-nucleotide ribosomal RNA is filed under the name uncultured prokaryote. RNAcentral's name for it is "bacterial SSU rRNA". It matches the Rfam family "Bacterial small subunit ribosomal RNA", at positions 355 to 774 of the family's 1533-position model. The record is from RNAcentral.
UGAGGAAUAUUGCGCAAUGGGGGAAACCCUGACGCAGCAACGCCGCGUGAGUGAGGAAGGUUUUCGGAUUGUAAAGCUCUGUCGAGCGGAAAGAAGUGCAUUAUGGCUAAUAUCCAUGAUGCUUGACGGUACCGCUAGAGGAAGCACCGGCUAACUCCGUGCCAGCAGCCGCGGUAAUACGGGGGGUGCAAGCGUUGUCCGGAAUCAUUGGGCGUAAAGCGCGUGUAGGCGGCUUGACAAGUCAGAUGUGAAAUCCCUGGGCUUAACCCAGGAAGUGCAUUUGAAACUGUCUGGCUGGAGUAAGGGAGAGGAAAGUGGAAUUCCUGGUGUAGAGGUGAAAUUCGUAGAUAUCAGGAGGAACACCGGUGGCGAAGGCGACUUUCUGGCCCUAUACUGACGCUGAGACGCGAAAGCGUGGGUAGCAAACA